CAGUCGCCGCGGUAAUACGUAGGUGGCAAGCGUUGUCCGGAAUUAUUGGGCGUAAAGGGCUCGCAGGCGGUUUCUUAAGUCUGAUGUGAAAGCCCCCGGCUCAACCGGGGAGGGUCAUUGGAAACUGGGAAACUUGGGUGCAGAAGAGGAGAGUGGAAUUCCACGUGUAGCGGUGAAAUGCGUAGAGAUGUGGAGGAACACCAGUGGCGAAGGCGACGCUCUGGUCUGUAACUGACGCUGAGGAGCGAAAGCGUGGGGAGCGAACAGGAUUAGAUACCCCCGUAGUCCCUGUCUCUUAUAC
This 301-nucleotide ribosomal RNA is filed under the name uncultured bacterium. RNAcentral describes it as "partial 16S ribosomal RNA". It matches the Rfam family "Bacterial small subunit ribosomal RNA", at positions 509 to 807 of the family's 1533-position model. The record is from RNAcentral.